GAUGAACGCUGGCGGCGUGCCUAAUACAUGCAAGUCGAGCGAACGGACGAGAAGCUUGCUUCUCUGAUGUUAGCGGCGGACGGGUGAGUAACACGUGGAUAACCUACCUAUAAGACUGGGAUAACUUCGGGAAACCGGAGCUAAUACCGGAUAAUAUUUUGAACCGCAUGGUUCAAAAGUGAAAGACGGUCUUGCUGUCACUUAUAGAGGGAUCCGCGCUGCAUUAGCUAGUUGGUAAGGUAACGGCUUACCAAGGCAACGAUGCAUAGCCGACCUGAGAGGGUGAUCGGCCACACUGGAACUGAGACACGGUCCAGACUCCUACGGGAGGCAGCAGUAGGGAAUCUUCCGCAAUGGGCGAAAGCCUGACGGAGCAACGCCGCGUGAGUGAUGAAGGUCUUCGGAUCGUAAAACUCUGUUAUUAGGGAAGAACAUAUGUGUAAGUAACUGUGCACAUCUUGACGGUACCUAAUCAGAAAGCCACGGCUAACUACGUG
Molecule: ribosomal RNA, 497 nt
Filed under: uncultured bacterium
Lineage: Bacteria
Description: partial 16S ribosomal RNA
Rfam family: Bacterial small subunit ribosomal RNA
Source: RNAcentral